Small nucleolar RNA from Sorex fumeus (smoky shrew), 132 nucleotides. RefSeq annotates it as U8 small nucleolar RNA. Lineage: Eukaryota; Metazoa; Chordata; Mammalia; Eulipotyphla; Soricidae. The transcript has a single exon. The record is from RefSeq and is a predicted model, not a curated record.
UCAUCAGGAAGGGUAAUCCUUACCUGUUCCUCUAUUCAGAGGCAGAUAGAAUGUGGUGAUUGAAGUUUGCAUAAUUCAUGAUUAAUCUCUCUACAUGAUAAGGGGCCACAACACUCUAAUUGCUCCUAUGAU